GAUGAACGCUAGCUACAGGCUUAACACAUGCAAGUCGAGGGGAAACGAUAUUGGAAGCCUGCUUCCGAUAGGCGUCGACCGGCGCACGGGUAAGUAACGCGUAUCCAACCUGCCCACCACUUGGGGAUAACCUUGCGAAAGUAAGACUAAUACCCAAUGACGUCUCUAGAAGACAUCUGAAAGAGAUUAAAGAUUUAUCGGUGAUGGAUGGGGAUGCGUCUGAUUAGCUUGUUGGCGGGGUAACGGCCCACCAAGGCGACGAUCAGUAGGGGUUCUGGGAGGAAGGUCCCCCCCAUUGGAACUGAGACACGGUCCAAACUCCUACGGGAGGCAGCAGUGAGGAAUAUUGGUCAAUGGGCGAGAGCCUGAACCAGCCAAGUAGCGUGCAGGAUGACGGCCCUAUGGGUUGUAAACUGCUUUUAUAAGGGAAUAAAGUGAGUCUCGUGAGACUUUUUGCGUGUACCUUAUGAAUAAGGACCGGCUAAUUCCGUGCCAGCAGCCGCGGUAA
This 508-nucleotide ribosomal RNA is filed under the name uncultured bacterium. RNAcentral's name for it is "partial 16S ribosomal RNA". It matches the Rfam family "Bacterial small subunit ribosomal RNA", at positions 28 to 523 of the family's 1533-position model. The record is from RNAcentral.